This 698-nucleotide long non-coding RNA is filed under the name Monodelphis domestica (gray short-tailed opossum). Its description in RNAcentral is "lncRNA (ENSMODG00000046628.1)". Lineage: Eukaryota; Metazoa; Chordata; Mammalia; Didelphimorphia; Didelphidae. The record is from RNAcentral.
AGAAGAACCUUUGGAGGACCAUCAGUUUGACUUUUUUGACUUCUACAAAAUCAUUCUUAAUAAUUAGCUCAAAUUUCCCUUUGACAGGCAGACUGGAACAGUGGGGAGAGGGGCCAACUUUGGUAUCAGGAAGACCUGGGCUCCAGUACUGCUUCUGACACAUACAGGCUUUGUUACUCUGGGUGGAACUCUUGCAAUUAAAAUAAUCUCCCUCCUUUACCGCUCCAAGGAGUCAGAAAUACCGAGAAACCUGUUGCUGAGAUCCCAUCUACUGACUUUUGUGGAGAGCUAUGCAUCAGUUCCAUAGAGGUGAUCAAGACAGGGUGAGGGAGUAAAACGUGUGGCCUUCCGCUUCUGGCUACAACAGAAGGUUGCAGGUGGUGGGCGUGAAGAGAUGGGAGAGAGACAAUUUCCAGGGAGUUGAGUUUCUGCAAAAUCGGACUGUGGCAUACCCCGAACCAUCGAAUAUUUCAUAUCGUGCCCCAAGGAACACGUGGCCAUGGCCCUGGGCUAGUUUUUGGCGAAUAGGAAGGGCAGUUUUUCUCUAAUUCAUCUCAAUGAAACCUCAAGACUUUUUAUUCCCGAGAAUGACUGGAAAGGAGGGUGGGGGGUGGGGGAGUAGGUAACGUGCUCAACUAUAAGAAUAUUUUCUGUGUCCUCUUAAUCUUGGCAUUAUAAAAUAAAUUUAAUUCCUCGUG